GAAAUCUUGUUAAUGAUUUUUUGACUUAUGCAUUGGUAUAUUAGAAAUCUAGCUCUACUGUCUGACUUUUCGAGCAUCUUGUGUUCCUUCUUUUGUUCUUGGGUUGCCUUCUCACUCAACUCAGGCACGCCAUCUUCAAUGACUUCCAACACGUCCUGGAACCCAAACACAGCCCACAUCUUGAUCCUCCAAUCCGCAAACUGCUCCCCAUCAAAUAUAGGUAGCGGUCCCUGAAUCCCUCCGAAUCCAGCCAUCUCAAUCUUGCAACUUUCUUUCAGGUUCUUUGAUAAUCUUUAGC
RNAcentral lists this long non-coding RNA (298 nucleotides) under Vigna radiata. Its description in RNAcentral is "long non-coding RNA (VRAD_LNC009640)". The record is from RNAcentral. Lineage: Eukaryota; Viridiplantae; Streptophyta; Magnoliopsida; Fabales; Fabaceae.